RNAcentral lists this ribosomal RNA (433 nucleotides) under uncultured bacterium. RNAcentral describes it as "partial 16S ribosomal RNA". It matches the Rfam family "Bacterial small subunit ribosomal RNA", at positions 29 to 507 of the family's 1533-position model. The record is from RNAcentral.
AACGAACGCUGGCGGCAUGCCUAACACAUGCAAGUCGAACGAGACCUUCGGGUCUAGUGGCGCACGGGUGCGUAACGCGUGGGAACCUGCCCUUAGGUUCGGAAUAACUCCCCGAAAGGGGUGCUAAUACCGGAUAAUGUCUUCGGACCAAAGAUUUAUCGCCUUUGGAUGGGCCCGCGUUGGAUUAGCUAGUUGGUAGGGUAAAAGCCUACCAAGGCGACGAUCCAUAGCUUGUCUGAGAGGAUGAUCAGCCACACUGGGACUGAGACACGGCCCAGACUCCUACGGGAGGCCGGAGUGGGGAAUAUUGGACAAUGGGCGAAAGCCUGAUCCAGCAAUGCCGCGUGAGUGAUGAAGGCCUUAGGGUUGUAAAGCUCUUUUAACCGGGAUGAUAAUGACAGUACCGGGAGAAUAAGCUACGGCUAACUCCGUG